ACGGGGUGCAGCAGGCGCGAAAACUUUGCAAUGUGCGAAAGCCACGACAAGGUUAAUCCGAGUGAUUUGUGCUAAACGAAUCUUUUGUUAGUUCUAGAAAUACUAACGAAUAAGGGGUGGGCAAGUUCUGGUGUCAGCCGCCGCGGUAAAACCAGCACCUCAAGUGGUCAGGAUGAUUAUUGGGCCUAAAGCAUCCGUAGCCGGCUCAGUAAGUUUUCGGUUAAAUCUGUACGCUUAACGUACAGGCUGCCGGGAAUACUGCAGAGCUAGGGAGUGGGAGAGGUAGACGGUACUCGGGAGGAAGUGGUAAAAUGCUUUGAUCUUUCGAUGACCACCUGUGGCGAAGGCGGUCUACCAGAACACGUCCGACGGUGAGGGAUGAAAGCUGGGGGAGCAAACCGGAUUAGAUACCCGGGUAGUCCCAGCUGUAAACUAUGCAAACUCAGUGAUGCAUUGGCUUGUGGCCAAUGCAGUGUUGCAGGGAAGCCGUUAAGUUUGCCGCCUGGGAAGUACGUACGCAAGUA
Molecule: ribosomal RNA, 524 nt
Filed under: uncultured archaeon
Lineage: Archaea
Description: bacterial SSU rRNA
Rfam family: Archaeal small subunit ribosomal RNA
Source: RNAcentral